GCCCCGAUGGUGGAAUUGGUAUACACGCACGGUUGAGGGCCGUGGCGCCUUGUGCGCAUGAGAGUUCAAAUCUCUCUCGGGGCA
This 84-nucleotide transfer RNA is filed under the name bacterium. RNAcentral describes it as "tRNA-Leu". It matches the Rfam family "tRNA". Rfam says of the family: Transfer RNA (tRNA) molecules are approximately 80 nucleotides in length. The record is from RNAcentral.